Molecule: ribosomal RNA, 825 nt
Filed under: uncultured Candidatus Saccharibacteria bacterium
Lineage: Bacteria; Candidatus Saccharimonadota
Description: bacterial SSU rRNA
Rfam family: Bacterial small subunit ribosomal RNA
Source: RNAcentral
ACUGGAACUGAGACACGGUCCAGACUCCUACGGGAGGCAGCAGUGAGGAAUCUUCCACAAUGGGGGCAACCCUGAUGGAGCAACGCCGCGUGCAGGAUGAAGGCCUUCGGGUCGUAAACUGCUUUUAUAAGUGAGGAAUAUGACGGUAACUUAUGAAUAAGGAUCGGCUAACUACGUGCCAGCAGCCGCGGUCAUACGUAGGAUCCGAGCGUUAUCCGGAGUGACUGGGCGUAAAGAGUUGCGUAGGUGGUUUGUUAAGUAGGUAGUGAAAUCUGGCGGCUCAACCGUACAGGCUAUUACCUAAACUGGCAAACUCGAGAAUGGUAGAGGUCACUGGAAUUUCUAGUGUAGGAGUGAAAUCCGUAGAUAUUAGAAGGAACACCAAUGGCGUAGGCAGGUGACUGGACCAUUUCUGACACUGAGGCACGAAAGCGUGGGGAGCGAACCGGAUUAGAUACCCGGGUAGUCCACGCCGUAAACGAUGGAUACUGGCUGUUUGGGGUAUCGACCCCCCAAGUAGCGAAGCUAACGCGUUAAGUAUCCCGCCUGUGGAGUACGGUCGCAAGACUAAAACAUAAAGGAAUUGACGGGGACCCGCACAAGCGGUGGAUCGUGUUCUUUAAUUCGAUGAUAAACGGAGAACCUUACCAGGGCUUGACAUCCAGGGAAGCACUGCGAAAGCAGCGUGUGCCUUUUGGAACCCUGUGACAGGUGUUGCAUGGCCGUCGUCAGCUCGUGUCGUGAGAUGUUUGGUUAAGUCCAUCAACGGGCGCAACCCUUGUGAAUAGUUGUAUUUUUCUAUUCAAACUGCCCCGGCAACGGGGA